RNAcentral lists this ribosomal RNA (796 nucleotides) under Paracanthurus hepatus (palette surgeonfish). RNAcentral describes it as "partial 12S large subunit ribosomal RNA". It matches the Rfam family "Bacterial small subunit ribosomal RNA", at positions 6 to 1348 of the family's 1533-position model. Lineage: Eukaryota; Metazoa; Chordata; Actinopteri; Acanthuriformes; Acanthuridae. The record is from RNAcentral.
UAAAAGUUUGGUCCUGACUUUACUAACAACUUUAUCUAAAGUUACACAUGCAAGUAUCCGCACCCCCGUGAGAAUGCCCUACAGUUCCCUGCCCGGGAACAAGGAGCUGGUAUCAGGCACACCCCCGUGUUUAGCCCAUGACACCUUGCUUAGCCACACCCUCAAGGGAACUCAGCAGUGAUAAACAUUAAGCCAUAAGUGAAAACUUGACUUAGUUAAAGCUAAGAGGGUCGGUAAAACUCGUGCCAGCCACCGCGGUUAUACGAGAGACCCAAGUUGUUAGACAUCGGCGUAAAGAGUGGUUAAGUACUAUUACUUACUAAAGCCGAACACCUCCGAAGCUGUCAUACGCACCUGAAGACAGGAAGUUCAAUCACGAAAGUGGCUUUAUACCAACUGAAUCCACGAAAGCUAGGGCACAAACUGGGAUUAGAUACCCCACUAUGCCUGGCCUUAAACAUCGAUGGCAUCUUACAACUACCAUCCGCCCGGGUACUACGAGCAUUAGCUUAAAACCCAAAGGACUUGGCGGUGCUUUAGACCCACCUAGAGGAGCCUGUUCUAAAACCGAUAACCCCCGUUAAACCUCACCCUUCCUUGUUUUUCCCGCCUAUAUACCACCGUCGUCAGCUUACCCUGUGAAGGCUUAAAUAGUAAGCAAAAUUGGCACAGCCCAAAACGUCAGGUCGAGGUGUAGCGUAUGGAGGGGGAAGAAAUGGGCUACAUUCCCUAAUCUAGCGCAUACGGACAACACGUGAAACACGUAUUCGAAGGAGGAUUUAGCAGUAAGCAGAAA